UAUCAGAGUACAUAAAGACCUCAGAAUAUUCACAUUCAGCUAAAACUAUUCAUCAUGUUCACUGUUAUAUUUGUAUCUCUGUGGCUUUCACUAGGUGAUUCCAUGGCAGAUUCAAUAGAACCACGUUUCACUUAUAAAGAUGUAGAUGAAGGUGAUGAUGUUACUCUGUCCUGCAAAUACCAAACAAGUUAUACAGGAACCAUCUACCUGCACUGGUACAGGCAAUAUCCAACAUCUAACCCUGAGUUCCUUCUUUAUAUUGAUAAAAGUGGGUUUAAAAGUGACCCAAUCCCACCACGUCUGAAUGCUAAUGUUGAUAAAAACAUACAACAAGUGGAUCUGAUCAUCUCCUCUGCUGCUGUAUCAGACUCUGCACUAUACUACUGUGCUCUGCAG
Molecule: non-coding RNA, 396 nt
Organism: Hemibagrus wyckioides
Lineage: Eukaryota; Metazoa; Chordata; Actinopteri; Siluriformes; Bagridae
Source: the annotation of a RefSeq genome assembly